Molecule: long non-coding RNA, 651 nt
Organism: Anopheles arabiensis
Lineage: Eukaryota; Metazoa; Arthropoda; Insecta; Diptera; Culicidae
Exons: 3
Source: RefSeq, a predicted model, not a curated record
AUAGCAUAAUAACAUUAUUUAUACUCAAAAGAUAACUUCUUUUUAGUUGAAUCACUACUAAGUUACCCAACGCUUGAAAACUCAAAUAACCUGUUCGUUAUCGGUGAGCGUUAGCAUACCUGUUGAGCAACAUUGCGGUGCAACGUUGGCCAAUUUGCAUCCGCAGCUAUAAAAACAAACCACACUGAUGCAUUCUUACCAGUGACUAACUAACUAAGUGGCUAAAAACAAAAGCGAAUACAAUAAUCGAAACAUGGAAAAGAAACUUUUUUGCAGUACAAUCGUUGUACUUUUGCUUUUGCAGCUUGGGGCUGCUGAAGACAAUGAAUGUACCGCCGCUUGUCCUCAUAUACUUGACCCGGUGUGUGCGACUGAUGGACGAAAUUUUAAAUACUUUUCCAACAGAUGUCUACUAGAAGGUCACAAUAAAUGUGAGCCAAACAAUAGAUUCAGAGAAGUUGACGAAAGUAACUGUGACGAUGAUGAUUGGCAAAAAUAAUUGACUGAAAAUCUGCCAUAAACCAUCGAUUGUUCUUGUUCCGCCGUUCAGCUGUUGGAAGAGCAUGUUGAUUCCUCAACUUUUAUUAACUACGCUUGAAUGAAAAAUCAAAUAAAAUAAAUUACUCACCCGUUAUGGUGCGCGAAAUAUGA